UUACAAGCAGAUGGUCCAUUUCGUUUGUCUUCCAGUACUGUUAAUGUUUGGGUCCACAUAGUAUUAAGUCAAUAGAAACGUUUUCAAAAUUUCAUAUCAGUUAUCCAAAGCAACUUCAUAGCUUGUUCAACUUGUUACGAUCAAACAGUAUUCCAAAAAAACACAAGUCCGAUGAAUAAGCCAAGUUCUCGUUCACGAUUCGCAUAACAGUCGACCUCUUCGUUUCUACCCAACACCGAAUGUAAUUAGUGGCAGAUUUCUAUGUUAUCAGUUAACCCAGUUGCUCUGAAGAAGUUGAUAACAGGUAAUGGAGAAUCAGGGUAGGAUUCCGGAUAAGGGGCCCAAGAAACGGCGAUCACUUCGAAGGAAGGCAGAAUGCGCGCAAAUUACCCAAUCCGAUACGCAGAAUUAGUGACGAUAAAACGGAUACGGCACUCAAUAGAUGCUCUGUAAUACGAAUGAGUAAAAUUCAAGUCCUUUAACAAGGAUCAACUGGUUCUCAGUUAAUAUCCAGA
Non-coding RNA from Opisthorchis viverrini, 515 nucleotides. The record is from Rfam. NCBI's taxonomy places the organism in Eukaryota, Metazoa, Platyhelminthes, Trematoda, Opisthorchiida, Opisthorchiidae.